Molecule: small nuclear RNA, 107 nt
Organism: Otolemur garnettii (small-eared galago)
Lineage: Eukaryota; Metazoa; Chordata; Mammalia; Primates; Galagidae
Source: Ensembl
GUGUUCACUUCAGCAACACAUAUACUAAAAUUGGAACAAUACAGAGAAGAUUAGUAUGGCCCCCAUGCCAGGAUGACACGGAAAUUGGUGAAGUAUUCCAUAUUUUU